GUGGUAGUGGCCAUUUUGUUUAGGCUGCGUGGAAGCCUUCUGCACCGUUGUCACCCUGGAGCCGCUGGAAGGAGAGAAUGCACUAUUUGGUGGGGACCGAGAUGGGUAUAUUCCGAAAAACUUGAAAAUCAUAAGAUUUAUCAGGAGCGGAGCCUUGCUGCAUCCCCACAGUAUGAUGGUCAGGCCCCGCCCCCUAGUAUUUUAUUUGGAGGACAAUUUCAGGAGAGGAAUCCGGGUGCGGGGAGGGAAAGCUGUUCACAGUUUAAUUGAUUUUUUUUCCUAAAGAAGUAU
Pelobates cultripes (western spadefoot toad) is the source of this 291-nucleotide non-coding RNA. The record is from the annotation of a GenBank genome assembly. Lineage: Eukaryota; Metazoa; Chordata; Amphibia; Anura; Pelobatidae.